Molecule: unclassified non-coding RNA, 234 nt
Filed under: Hevea brasiliensis (rubber tree)
Lineage: Eukaryota; Viridiplantae; Streptophyta; Magnoliopsida; Malpighiales; Euphorbiaceae
Source: RNAcentral
GGAGAAAGUGGGAGUGGGAAAUCAACGGUGAUCUCAUUACUGCAAAGAUUUUACGACCCUGAUUCUGGCCAAAUUACUCUAGAUGGAAUUGAGAUCCGAAAGUUGAACUUAAAAUGGUUAAGACGGCAGAUGGGUCUGGUGAGUCAGGAACCUGUAUUAUUUAAUGACAGCAUUCGAGCCAACAUUGCAUACGGGAAGGAAGGAAAUGCAACAGAGGCAGAAAUUAUGGCUGCA